GCCACCAGGGGACACAACAAUUAUUCCAUUAAACUGGAAGUUAAAACUGCCACCUGGACACUUUGCGCUCCACCUACCUUUAAGUCAACAAGCUAAGAAGGCAGUUACGGUGUUAGCUGGGGUGAGUGACUCGGACUAUCAAGAUGAAAUCAGUCUACCACUCCACAACAGAGAACAUCCGACUCCAAGUUCUACAGUUUUGGAACUCAGAGUGUCUCUCCUUGCUCCUCAGCCUGCAGAUGGCCUAUUGACGGACCUUGUGAUUGUGGCUCUCUGGUUUUGCAUCUUCCUCAUUUUUCUCUUGCCGCUGCCAUGUAAGAAAUGCCUUUCACCUUCCACCAUGAUUCUGAUGCCUCCCCAGCCAUGUGGAAUUUUUUUAAGAAGCGUUGUUCACAUUUUACCAGGGAGAAGAACACAUUCUUCAAAUGAAAUCCAGAAAGCAAACAUCCAUUGUCAGUAUCAAAGUGCUGAGAAUCUACGGAAUCAAGUGCAUUAAUGGAGGGACAGGAUUUAGGUACUUGCUUAGAUGGAGCAGAUGCAGCCAGACACUCUAUAUAAAGAAUCUCUUUAGGAGAGUUAACAAAUUGGUAGAGUUCAAGCAUCGGCUGAUGAGAAAGUAUAAAGCCCCAAGAUCUGCAGAUUAUAGAGGUAAUUUUUAUCCUAUUUUAAUCCUUAUUCUUCCAUCAGACAUGACCAAAACAAAAUAAAACAAACAAAAAGGGUAGAAAUGGUCCUGAAAAAGCAUCCUCAAGGAGUAGGUCAGAAGGACAGAAACAGCAGACAUGUGAGAGACGCAAAAUCCCCAGGCUGAAACAUUCUCCCCUAUUUCCUGUGUAUAACAAAAGCCUUAAUCUGCUGGAGGAAUCGCAACAAAUACUUUAUGUUACUCGCAACAACCCAUUGCAGUUAGAAGAAGGAAACAGAAAAUCCUCUAGCACAGGAAGAAAAACAGAAAAAAUGCUGGGCCCAGGAGUGGAGCUAGGAAAGGGGAAAGUACACUGAAGCUAUAGUCCAGAGACACAGGGACAAAGCACUUACCUAAAACUGUGGCUAGGAAAGCUAGAGAAUGCACCAGUCUCUGCUACCUAGCACCAGGCUCAAAAGCACAAUGCACUAGGAGCACUCUUGUGAAUAGCCACUACACCACUGCCCACCAGCACUCCAGCCUGGGCAACAAAGAGAUCCCAUCUCUCCCCAUUCCACCCCAGAAAAAGCACUGGAUUCAACAAUCAUGGAACUUUGCAGAAACAUUUUCAAGAAAAUAGAGACAGAUGCACACUGAGGUCUAGAGCAAAGAGGAAGCAUAAAUAUAUAGCAUUAAGAAAGUCCUCUGGCAAACAAGCUCACAUUCUAACAUAAGAUAAUGCUAGAAUAAUUUAAAAUCUGUGCUGCCCCAAGGGUAAAGAGAACAACAAAUAUCAAAUACAAGCCACUUCUUGAAAAAAUUAACUCAAACUACUGCAAUAAAGAGCUAUUAGAAGUAAGGGUGUACUAAUUUUUGGCAUUAAAUGGAUUUACCUUGUUCCGUACUUUCCUACACAGGAUAUCCAGCUUUCAAUAAAAAAUUCCAAGGUAUAUGAGAAGGUAAGAAAGAACAACAUUGUGCUAAGUGACAAAACAAUCACAAAUCAGACUUAAAUAUGACAUAAAUUCUGAAAUUGACCCGAUUGUCCUAUAGAUUGACUGUUUUUUAAAUAUAAACAUAGAAAUUGACCCUUUUGAUCUUAAAAAGCUUGAAAUUUAUAUUUGUUUCAUCUAAGUUUCUUCCUCAGGAAAUGACCUUUAGGCCUCUCACAAAAAAUAUCAAAGAACUGAAACCAGCUCGCCACACCAGGUGUCACCAAAUAUAGGACCACUCAUUCACCAUGAUUCCUUCUGUGCCUCUCCCAAGUUCCUGUUUUCUUACACAUUGUUACAUUUCUUGCCUGCUAUAUAAACCCUUGGUUUUAGUCAGUCAGGGAUAUGGAUUUGAGACGGAGCUCCCAUCUCCUCAGCUGGCAGCGCCCUAUUAAAGCCUUCUUCCUUGGCAAUACUUGGCACCUCAGUGAUUGGCUCUCUGUGCAGCAAGCAGCAGGACUGAGUCCGGAAUCCCUGGUGUUUUAGUAACAAUACUGUAAGUAUAUGGUAAGGAAUUUAAGAUAACGGUGUUAUUUUAAAUCUAACAUUAAAUAUAACGUUAAAAACUCUAAUGAAAAAAGUGGACAAUAAGCAAGAUUAGAUAGGUAAUUUUAUCAGAGAGAUAGUAACUUUAAGAAAAGGAUCAAAUGGAAAUGCUAGACAUGAAACAUAAUAAAAGAGAUGAAACACUUUCAGAGGCUCAUUAGUAAACAAUACAACUGAGAAGACAGUCAUCUAGAAGAUAAAACAACAAACAUUUACCUAAUCAAGAUGGGUAGGGGAUGGGAAGAAAGAGUGAGAGAGAAAUACAUAUAAAAAUAAUUUUUAAAGUUCAAAACAUCAGUGCAUUCCAGAGCUGUGAGAUAAUAUCAAACCAAAUGUUUAUUACCAGGAAAAUUUUGAUGUUCGAAAUUGUGAGAUAUUCAUUCAAGGAAUAUGAUAUGGUAUAAAAUGAACAAAUAAUCAACUUAUUCAACAAGCUGGAUGGAUCUCAAAUUUGAUACAAAAUGAUAUACGACCUUACACAUGUUAGAACGGCUAUUAACAAAAAGAUAAAUGAUAACAAAUAUUGACAAGAAUGUGCUUAAAGGGGAACCUUGUUGCACUGUUGGUGUGAAUGUAAAUUAUUACAGUCAUUUUUAAAAACAGUAUGGAGGGCCCUCAAAAAAUUUUAACUAAAACCACCAUAAGACCCAGUAAUCUCACUUACGGAUAUACAUCCAAAGAAAAUAAAAUCAAUGUGUCAAAGAGAAAUCUUUAUUCCCACAUAUAUUGCCCCAUUAUUCACAGUAGCAAAAAUAUGGAAUCAACCUUUGCCCAUCAACAAAUAAAAGAAUGAUAAAAUGUGGUAUGUAUACACAAUGAAAUACUAUAUAGCCCCAAAAAGAAAAUUCUGUCAUCUGCAACAACAUAGAUGAACCUGGAGGACAUUAUUCUAAGUAAAAUAAGGUCAGCACAAUAAGACAAAUACUGCUUGAUCUCACUUAUAUGUGACAUGUAAAAUUUGAACCUAUAGAAGCAGAGAAUAGAAUGGUGUUUACAGAGGCUGGAGGGAGGUGUGGGAUAGAGAAAGGAGAAAUGUUGCUGAAAGGGUACAAAGCUCCAGUGACACAGGAGGAAGAAGUUUUAGGGAUGUAUUCCUCAACAUGGUGAGCAUAGUUAAUAAUAUCAUAUAUUUCAAAAUUACUGAAAGAGUAGAUUUUGAGGAUUUCCACCAACAAAAAAAUGUAUUUAGGUGAGGUUAUAAAUAUAUUCAUUAUAUUGACUUAAUUUUUCUACAAUAUGUGUAUGUGUGUAUGUAUGUAUAUUUCAAAACCUCACAUUGUAGCCCAUAAAUAUAUACCAUUGUUAUAUGUAUCAAAACAUCACACUGUACUUCACAUACAAUUAUUUGUCAAUGAAAAAUUUUAAAUAUAUAUUUAUCUUCAGUUAAAGAAGUCAGAACUAUGCCUUUGUAUUCCUAAACUUAUCUUUAAAUAUAUUUUAAUUUUAUUAAAUAACAUGAAAAAUGCAUGAUAAAUCUGAGAUUGAUAAAAAAUUUAUAGUUCAAACUUCCUGCUUAAUAUGUUAUUCAUAGUAAUAAUAAUAAUGAUACUAAAUAAAAUUCUUACAUAAUUCUAAGUAUAGUGAUUCUUCCAAGGUACAAAGGGAAUUACAAAAGAAAUUUUGUGGUUUAUUUGGCUAUUUAUUUGUUAUUUCUUGAGUUUUUGGUAUGUGGCAGGGAUCAAGCCAGUUGUAUGAACGUUGUGGUAAACUGACAUAUGUCAUUAUACAGAGACCAGCCAGGAAAGUUCGAGUGGCUUAAAAUCUAGUGACAGAAAUUUGUGUUCAAAUACUAAGAAAAUACAUGAUAAUUGGUAUUACAUGUUGCAAAUGAAGAAAAUAUCAUGUGCUGAAUUGUAGAUAAGUACAGCGAGACGGGAUAUUUGCAAGCUUGAAGAAACCUUGAGUAAUAUGAAAUCUAUGGUGUUCUUUGAAAGGUGUAUAAGGUAAAAUGCUUGGUUGAAAAGAUAAUAGGAAUAGAAGCUUUAUAAUGUAACAAAUGUACGCAUUGAAUACACAGAGAAAUAAUUUGCUGCAGGAGAGAUGUCUUGUUGUAGUUGAAAAUAAAUUAUAGAAAAUAGAAUUAGCUAUAGAGAAAACUGUAAAGCUAGUAAAACUGUUUGAACUUAAUAUUUUGUAGAGCCAAUUUUUGGACAGAUAAUCAGAGGAAUUAUUAACUUAAAUAAAGCUACUACAAGAUAUGCAUAUUAGACUGAAGAAAAGAGACCUACAGGGGAACACUUUAGGUAGUGGGCAAAUUGCAGUAUCUAAAAAAAAUCAUUGUGAAUACACACCCACCAGAAUGGUGGCAUAAAAUAGAUUGUCUCUUUAAUUAUUUUGGGGAAAUCAAUUUAUUUACAUGUAUGAUAAAUUAACUAUAGCAAAUAAUAUUUUCUUUUAUGGCUAUAGACAAAAAAUUGCCUAUAGAUUUGGAUACACUUACCAUAUUGCCAACAGUAAACACUGAGUAAUCUGGUCUCAUGCCUCUUUUUAUAGAUUACCUUCAUUUUGAAUACAAAGCUUAUCCACAAUCUACCGAUUGUUUAAUGAGGACAUAGUUUUACUAACCCUCAAAUAUUCCCUAAAAUGUUAAUUUUAUAAAAAUUAAUAUUGACAAAGCAAAAGAUUACAGGAGAAAAAAUAACUCAUAUAUCUAUAUUCUCUCCCAAAGUUUGCUUUAUUCAUAAUGAUGUAUACAAUGUUAAAGUUUCUAGAUUGGCCCUUUAAUAUCAUCUUUCUUAAUUUUGAACAGUGACCAAUAGAUACAUUUGAAUACAGAAACAGCUAAAAUUUGACAUAAAGAUAAAACAAGAGCAUAUAUAUUAAUAUCAAAAUCUAACAAAGAUGUCUUAACAUUUUUUAUUUUUCAUAUAGGUUUUAUUCUUAGUUAUCUGAUUGCACUUUUAGUGAAACAUCUGUUUAACGUGAAAUCCAUUUAAGAUACUGGCAUACACAGGACGAUUUUAAUAAAAUCUAUUAGUACUCAGCAACAUGGAAGGUAUUAAAUUUUACUGUGUUACGUGAGACAAGCCAGGCACAGAAGGACAAAUAUUGCCUGUUCGUGCUCACAUGAGGGAGCUAAAAAAGUGAAUCUCCUGGAGGUAGAGAAGAAGGGUGGUUAGUAGAGGCUGGGAAGGGAAGGAAGGAAGGAGGAUGAAGAGAAGUUGGUUAAGAGGUACAAAAAUACAGUCAAAUAGAAAGCUAUAGUAUUUGAUAAUAUAUACUAUCUAAUAGAUCUUAUCUAAUAGAUUAAGUUACAGUAUUUGAUAGUACAGAAAAGAAAUUGUAGCUAACAAUAAUUUAUUGUAUAUUUUGAAACAGCUAGAAGAAGAUCUAUAAUGUUCCCAACACAAAGAAAAGAUACAUGUUUGUGGUUAUAGAUAUCCCAAUUGUCCUGAUUUGAUCAUUACACAAUGUAUAUGGGUAUCAAAAUAUCACAUGUACCUCCAAAAUAUGUACAAUUAUUAUAUAUGUACAAUUAUACUAUUAUAUAUUAUAUAUGUACAAUUAUAUGUACAAAUAUAUGUACCUCCAAAAUAUGUGCAAUUAUUAUAUAUUAUUUAAAAUUUUUGACAGUUUAUCACCAAAUGUUAUCCAAUUUGACAGAUAUUUCCCAGUUGUAUAAUAGACUACAUUCUAGACAUAAAUUUCCACUUACUGUCCUAAAUUUUUAAAGAUAAUUAGAUAUUUACUGAAAACCUCAUUUUCCGGCUGGGUUCUCUAUACUACUUUUUACAGCCUCAGGUUGAAUACCAUUUACUUGAACCAUGUGUGCUUGCUUAACUACUUCAAACAAUAAAAUGGUGUAAAGAAGACUGAUCCAUAAUUUUUCAUUCUAGUGAAACAUUUCCAAGUGUCAAAUUUAAAGAAGAAAACAAUCACCUGUUAAAUUGUAGAACUAACUUUUGAAAAACAUCAUAGAAAACUAUGGCCACAAGCAAAGCACUGUGCCCUGUAGUCCUGUUGACAAUAGCUAUUAAAUCAAGACUAUUCGAUCACUGAAUAUUUAAUUUGCCUUGGGAGGAUAUUUGACUUUAUGUGUUUAAAUUUUGAUUUGAAUUUGUUACACAAAAAUUUUCUUGGGUGAUUCUGAGAACAGUUUCAAUAAUCUAAAAUAGACAUAGAAUUUUAUGGUAUUUUAAUUGUAAUUAUAAUAAUUUUAAAAUGCAAGACAGGAUAUACACAGAUAUUUAUUCAUGUAAUAUAUUAAGGCCUACUGAAAUAUGAAUGAAGGUAAAAUCUUUCAACAAACAUGCCAAUGUUAGCGUUGGCAUAGUGUUAUGAAUUCAUCACUUUAUUUUUUUGACAGCAUUAUAAACUUCUCUUUUUAGUGUUAUUUUGUAUGAAAUAUCUUAACAUAUCUGCAAACAAUAAGAGGAAUAAGCUCACAUUUCCUAGUAAUAUACAUAUACUGAUACCCCUUUGUAUGUGGCCAUUAAAAAUGUAAGUUAGCCUUUUCUUCCUGCAUCUUGCAGCAAUCUAACAGAAUAAUUUUAAACAAGGAGUUUCCUUAUUCCCUUGUCAGAAAUUAGAAGUAAUCAAUUCAAGGCUGGUAUAGUGGCUUCUCUGACCCCAUGUCUGUUCUCUAGUCGUAUAUUUCAUAUAGCUCUGUUUCUCUGUCACUCAUCAUAUGUAUGUUAGUUUCUUCAAGCUCACGAGAUAACUGCUGUGUUUUAGUCACCAUGCCCUCAUGAUCAGCAAAUAGAAAGGAGGAGGAGCAAAAAGCCAACGACACAAUGUAUAUUCCAAUCGUCUUUCAUGAAAAAAAAAAAAAAGAUUUUUGGUAGUAUAUCCAGUAAUCUUCCAUUCACGUGGUAUUGUUGGAACUUCCAUGAACAAAAUUCCUGCUCCGUUUACGAGGGAAAAGUAGAGACUGGAUAUUGUCUAGGCAGUGUUUCUCAUAACGUUCCAAGUAGUAAAAUAAUGAAGUUUCCCUCUACCUUCUCUUCCUAGGAAAUACAUCAUUGUAAUAAUAGUCGUUAGAAUUUUAAAUAUAAGAUAUAAAAAACUGGGUACGUGUCUGGUCAGCCUUUGAAUUAGAUCAUGUGCUAAUUAUAGCAAUAUUGGACACUAGGCACAUUUCCACUGUAAUUUUUUAGGGAGAGAUACUGAAGUUUAUGCUAUAUAUCAGCAAUGAAAUAAUUUGUAAGCUAUGUUUCUGAUACUUCAUUAUUGGUAUAAUAUAGGAUUACAGGUGCUAUGACUGCCAAAUAUCUGCCCCAUUUUAGUUUUUCUUUCCUUCACUGAUGUCACGUGCAAUAUACUCAUUUCAUAAAUUUCCUCUAUGUACUGCCUCUUGGUGAAUUCAGUGUGUUUCCUUAUUAUUAUUUUUUCUAAUUAAGGACAUAUGUCCCUAAAACUUGAGUUAGAAAUAUCUUCCAAAUAAUUAGAUCUUCCCUCAAGAAAUAACAAAAAUAAAGCCAAAAUACAUUUUUCAAAAUUUCCAGCAAUUUUUUCUCUGUAUGUUAGAUGAGAAGAUGAAGACAUACAUUAAUGGCUCUUUGUAAUUGAACUUCCAUGUAAAUUGAGUCUAAAUCUAUAUUAGCUAUAUUUUUUCCUAAUGAAUUGGUAAUUAUUGUGAUUAUUCCUGGAACUGUGAUUGUUUGACUUAAUAGCUAUAUUUAUAAUUUUUUUUGUAGAAGGCCCUUUUAUGGUGUACACUUUUUUUCCUGGGAAGUUAUUUGUCUUCCAAAAUCACAUAUGGAUUCAUCUGACAUUCUAAUGACUGUAUCCACCAAAAUAUAACAUCUUAUGAUAGUAAUUUUAUCUCUCAGUAUUUCAGGUAUACCUGAAUUGGUUAAUGAGUCUGACUUUGACAUGUUGGUAUUUGCAGUGAGUAAAGGUAUUAGACUUUCAAUAGUGACAAUACCAAAGGUGAAUACCUAUUAUGAUCAAGAUAAAAUUAAAAAAGGCUUUCUGUGGUGGAAGGUCUAGGAUGGCCAUGUUUUAUUUGAAGUACCCUAUCUUAGGUCCUUCUUGGGAUCUUACUCUUCCUGGGAUCUCACAUGUGGCAAAUUUAACUUUGGAAUACUUACUUUCUGUUACUCUAUUCCAUUCCAGUAUCUAUAGAAUUAUCCUUAUUAAUUGACUCAUUUUUGUUGUAUUCCUUUUAUGUCUUUGUUUGUUCCUUAAACCUGUUGACUACAAAAUAGUGAGUCACCAGUAGAUCCUUUGGGUUUUUUUUGUUAAAACCUGAGGCUUUACCUAGAAAAAUUUAAUGGCCAGGGAUCUGGAUUAGUUGCAUCCAAUUUUUAAGCCAUAAUCUAUAGUCUCCUAGUGGUCCAAAUGGGAUUUUGUUAAAAAAUAUACAACUUCAAACAUCAUCCAUAACCUAUUGAAUCUGGAUAUUUUGAGAGAUCCCUGGGUAAUUCUAAGUAAAUUAAAAUUUAGGAAGCACUGUACUCAAAAGUCCUUCCAACGUGCACUCUAAGCGGAAACAUAUUUCUCUUCUUGUUAAUGAGCAAUAGCACAUUUAUAAAUUUCAUUAAUUCUCCAGCAUGAAAGUUCCUCAUUUAGGGUAAUUAGGAAGUAUAACAGAUUGAUAAUAGUUUUGGUGGUUCCGAGUUUAUAAUGAAGCCACCAUUGACAAUCUCUUGUAGAUGACAUUUCUCAAAUCACUAGUUUUGCACUAUUUUAGUGGUACAUGGGAAGAACUAAUAACAUUCCCUCACUAAAGUCAGUCAAGCAGGUAUCACAUAUUUCUGAUAACACAUAGAAUUCAACAAUUAUUCCAGCAUUGUUAUAAUUGUAAAUUUCCCAACAGCAGUCACCAAAUCCCUGGGUUAUCUCAUGACUUAAUGGAGUAGCACCCAGAACUCUAUUUUACCAAUUGUAUAUACUAUUGAUCAUGUUUCUCUAUCAAGACAUGACUUUAAUUUAUGAAGAAACUGAGUAUCCAUGGAAGAUGAGUUUACUCAUCAUAUUCCCAGUAACAAACUUCAGCCACCUGUUUCUUAGACUGUCAAUUUACUGAAUGCUCAUAAAAUGCAUUGAUUGUUUUCUCAGUUUGAUAUAUUCAAUUUCUACCUCCCCAUAUUCCAUAAAUUAUAUUCUUAAUAUCAUUUCUCCUUGGUUUGAGAAGUUACUGAAUGUAUGAUAAUAUCAUUUGUCAAAUCAUUUGUUGUCAUGCAUCCAAAAGUCAGAGUGCAUUGGGAAAGACUUCUGGCUAAAUUCUGAUCAGUACAAUCCAAUAAAAAUAUAAUUAAACCAAAAAAGUAAUUUUAAAUUUGCGAGCAGCUAUAUGAAAAAGUUAAAAAGAAAUAUGUGAAAUUAAUUUAUGUAAUUUGUUUCAUGGAAUCUCAUAUACCCAAAAUAUAAUAUUUUAGCAUGUAAUCACUAUAAAAUUAUGAAUAUAGCUUUUGUACCUUUUUUGAUCUUCAAAUUUCAGUGUUUAUUUUACACAUAAGCAUGGCUCAUUCAGACUAGUCACAUUUCAAAUAUCCGAUAUCCGUAUAUAGUUGGUGCUUAACAUAUUGGAUACUACAGGUCUUGAUUAAUAAUAAAAUUCUAGUUGAUUAUAACAUGUUAGUCCCAAUAUUCAAGAUGAAAUGCUCUAAAAUGUUACUCCUUUGAUGUAAGGUAUGAAACAUUCAUCAGUAACAUAUGAAAUUAAACAAAAUUUGAAAUGCCACCAAAAGCCUAGACAACUAUUGCAGAUCAUUAGUGUGUUGAGUUUUAGAAGAAUGACAGGCACAGAGAGAAUCGGGUUGCCAUCUAGUCUUCUUUCAUAAAAUUCCUCUCUAGUCUCUUCUUCUCCUUGUAGAGUUUUACAUCCAUGAGAGCUGAACACACAAACACAUACCCUUCUUUCAUUCCACAGAGUACUUUAAACACCACUCUUUUUUUCUUAUUAUCUUUCUCUGGCUCUGGGUGCAAGCUGCUCUCACAGAAACAUCUUCUGAAAGUUCACACUUUUAAUGGGAUGAUACCAUCCAUGAAAAACCUGCUGGGAAUUCAACCGAUUUCUUGUUAUUUCUUUUUUUGCCUACUUUUGUCAUAAGUUUUAGUGAAGAAAAACUUCAAUUAACAUGGCAUUUUAGAAAAACUUCUCAAGUAACUGUUUCCUUUUAUGAGAUAUCUUAGUUAUUUCCUCAGCUUAAUUUAAUAAUAACAUUAAAAAUUUUAAUGAGAUAAUUGUCUUUAAAAAUAACUAUUCUAGGUUUUUGAGAGCAACAAUACUACAUUUGAAAAUAUGGUCCAGUCCAGAUAUGUUUCAUAGUGAAUUAAAAUUAUUGCCUUGUUAUUACUAUAAAGUUUAAAGAUCUUGACAUACAUUUUGCUAUUUUAAUCAUAUUACUAGGGUUUCUUGCUAAUGAAAAUCAAAAUGAAAUCACAUUCUAUAGUUCUCUGGGAAGCAGAUUUUUACAAUGUCAAAAUUGCAUAGCCUUAAACUUCUGUGUUUAACUCCUUUCUCCAAAAAGUGGAAUAUUUUUUUCAUACCAUAGGCUUCACCUAACACACAAUAACUUGUUUUCAAUUUAGGAGCAAUAUCAAUAAAGUUAUUUUUAAAAAUCUUAAAUCUAAAUAAUUAAAAAAUCUAACUAAAGCAAAUAAUAUUAAAAUAUAUCUGGAGCUUCUAUUCUCCUUACAUUAGCAUUUCUUCUUAGUUGGUCAGAGUUAAUUCAGUGAUCCAGGUGCUCAAAUCAAUUCACAACACAACUUACUAAGAUUCAUCUUCAGUCCAGAAAAGAGAAUGAGGGUACAAAAUUUAUACCCUUUGUAAAUUCUAUGUACUCACCUUUGCCUACCUCAAAUGGUAUUUUGUGCUUUUCAAUAUUUAUUAUGUUUUCAUUGGGUGUGAAUACUCAAUAACUAAAGAAUAAAUGACUUCCCCAAAACAUGUAUGCAUCCAUAAAACAUACAGAAAUAAACACUCAUUAUAGCUCAUUGAAGCAGUCUUACAUCUUUAUCUUGCUUACCUCUAGAAAGUAAGAUAAGAUAAUAUCCCCAAGUCUGUUGGAAAUGAAUGUAUUCAGGAAACACACACAAAAGAAGAUAAGUUCUUCACAGUGAUGUUCUAUCUUCAUACUGAGGCACAUUAAAAAUAUGGUUACUCACUACUUGAAAAUUGAUGGUUUUGAUUAAUGUAACUCGAGACAAAAUUUUUAAUUCUUCGAUUCACAGUUACUAAAAAGUUCAUUUUUUCACUUUUGAAAUUUAAUUUAGCUCACAAAGCAUGACUAGUAGUAUCAAAUUAAGAUACUAUAGAUGGGAGUGGAUGAAAGAUAAUUAUAUGUUAAAAUUUGAGAAAUGACAACAAACUAUUAUACAAAUUUUGAAAAUUGUUAAAUCAUAUUGGAUUUGUAAUCAAAACAGCAUAGUUUUAAAGCAUUGACUAAGGGAACAUUACAGGUCAUGAGUCUGAAUGAACAUAAUAAAAAGGGCAAAAAUUCUUGAUGACUUGGAAUUAGUAAAUUUGUAGAAGGUGAUUUGUUUUACAUCUUACGAGUAAGCAUUAUUGUUCUCAUUACAUAGAGAAGGAAACAGUAUCAGAAUCAUUAAAAAUAUGUGCAUUCACAUUGCUAGUAGCACAAUAAGUUCAAUGACUUAUUGAUUGUGCUUGUAUUCUUACUAAGGUAUAUGGGAGUAAACUGCUCUACUGAAUUCUGUAGUGAAUUAGCUAUGAAUUUUUUGGAAAAAAAAAUUUCACAUAUAGAAGCUCAUACUAUACCAAUAAUGAAACUCAGACUAGAAAUAUAAAGAGGGACAAGACCACGUCCUAGUUCAGGAGGCAUAGAAAGUUUGUAGACAACUAUGAUUAGAUAUGACUUGUUCUAAGCUUGAGUAAAUAUAGAGACCUAAAUGUCUUCAACCUUAUUCAACCUAUUUCUUGUUAUUUCUUUUUUUGCCUACUUUUGUCAUAAGUUUUAGUGAAGAAAACUUCAAUUAACAUGGCAUUUUAGAAAAACUUCUCAAGUAACUGUUUCCUUUUAUGAGAUAUCUUAGUUGUUUCCUCAGCUUAAUUUAACAAAGUAUAAUAACAUUAAAAAUUUUAAUGAAGGGGGAGAGAGUGGUUGGUCUGGAAAAAAUUAUCUGAAGUUAACAUUUCUCAGCUUUGAGUUGGCAGGAUGUUUCAAGAUCGUAAGGCAAAAAAAGGUUAAAAGUUCUUUUGGUGGCAGCAGCCCAUCUGGAGCAGCUGCUCUGGGGAAGCCAGCUGUGGCGAGGGAGGUGCCACUGGGGCUGCAUGCUCUGAGGAGCCGGCAGAGGCCAGGAACAGGUGGGAGUCCCACACUCCUGGGUGUAGCUGCAGCCACCCAGCCGCGGCUCCAGACCUGGGCAUCCAGGUGCACUUGGGGCCCAGGAAAUCCCCUGCCACUGCAGGCUUGAAAGUGCCAAUUCUGCUCCCUGGCCUCUCCUCAAUCCUGGUGCCUGCUGUGGGGCAGAGCAAAGUUGUGGCCGAGCCCAGGCACUGUUGCAACCCAGCCGGGUUUGCGCACACUCAGUGCAGUGCUGACACAUUGGCCUCGGGCCACCUCAGCCCCCUCCGGACUUUGGGCACCAAUGAGCAUGCAAGGGGGUCCAGGGGGACUGAGGGAGGUUCAGGGCGGACCCGUGGGUACCUCUCAGCACUGACAGCCUGGGAUCUAUGGAUGGCAUGUAAAAGGCAGACAGGCUCCUAGGUGGGAAGUGGUGGGUCCCCAGUGAAACCCCACCUUCAGGCCAGGGCCGGCCUGAAGGCUGGGGACUGGGCUGCCAGUUCCAGGUGAAGUCUGCAGCCAGGAGUGAGAACUUCAUUGAUGACCAUUUGGCCAAUUGGAUGGUCCUUUUUCCAGGAACACCUGUGGCCAGUCAUGGACCAAUCAGCAUGCACUUUCUCCAUUCUGAGGACAUAAAAACUGCAGACUCGGCCAGAUUUACACACUUGCUGGGAAGACCUGCCUAUAAAAGGAAGUACCCACUAUGGGUCUCCUCUCCACUGAGAGCUGGACACUCAUCGAGAUGACCUGCAUGCAGAAAGGAGCUACCGGCUAUGGGUUUCCUAUCUGCUGAGAGCUGGACACUCAUUGAGAUGACUUUCCUGUGGGAAGGAGCUACCCACUACGGGUCUCCUGAGAGCUUUUCUGUCACUCAGUGAAGCUCCUCUCUGCCUUGCUCACCCUCCAGUUGUCUGCACACUUCAUUCUUUCCGAAUGUAGGACAAGAAGUCAGGACCCACCAAAUGCAGGACUGAAAAAGCUGUAACACAAACAGGGCCACAAUAUACCCCCCAUUCACCACGUUGCAGGCAACAAGAAGGAGAGAAGAGCUGUGGCCCUUUGGGGAGCCCAGACCUAGGGGCUCCCCAAGCCAGGACUGUGACACCCUCUUUGGGGCUCUCUGAGGGUUCCUGGCAUCUCCAAUCAUCCGGCUGCCACCACGUUCCCCUUGUCCAGAUGUGGGUGCCCCUAGCAGAAUCCAUUUGUGGUACAUCUGAUCCAGCCACAGCCUUUCACGGAGCCAGCACCUGAGCCAGUGCCUGGAGCUGCCCGCUCUGCUGCAGCAGCCAGUGUGCCUGGCUGUGUGCAGUGGAAAAACGCCAUGCUCGCUAGCCCACACGCCCCUUGCUGCUGCCCACCUGGCUCACCGUUGGCAGGUGUGGGAUCCAGGCUGGUAGCAUGAGUCGAGUGCAGUCUGCCAAGCCAAGUGGGCAGAAUGAGCCCAGCGGGCCUAAGCAAAACUAGGGCAAAGAUGCCACCAGCCACAGAGGUUUCCGAAUGGAAAUGUGACACCCUAAGGAUCCUGUGACUACAAGUAGGUUAAAAGGCUGGAACAGUCUGUGGAAAGUAACUAGUAACAGGCUGGGCACAGUGGCUCACGCCUGUAAUCCCAGCACUUUGGGAGGCCGAGGCAGGCAGAUCACUAGGUUAGGAGUUUGAGACCAGCCUGGCCAACAUGGUGAAAUCCUGUAUCUACUAAAAAUACAAAAAUUAGACGGGUGUGGUGGUGCGUGCAUGUAGUCUCAGCUACUCAGGAGGCUGAGGCAGGAGAAUUGCUUGAACCUGGGAGGUGGAGGUUGAAGUGAGCUGAGAUCCUGCCACUGCACUCCAGCCUGGGUGACAGAGACUUUGUCUCAAAAAAAAAAAAAAAGAAAGAAAGAAAGUAACUAGUUACAGAAGAAGAGACAUGAUAGAUAUGCAAAAAAAAAAAAAAAAAAAAAAGAUAAUGCACCACUAUGUGCUGAUAAAUAAAAGAUUAAAAGGAACAAGUAUGUAAUUUUCCCAAUAGAAAAUAAUUACCAUAUGAUAAAUAGAAUAUUGCUUAAGUAUUUUUUCUACAGAAGUACGCUUAAUAAUGUCCUUCCUUCUAGCCUGUCAGUAAACUAACUUAUUCUAGAGGAAUAUAAUAUGCCUUAUUCUUUCUGGAGUUCUGUUAUCCACAUCAAGAUUAUCUCAUUGUUUUUCUUUAUAUAUUUCUCAGAAAUUAUAUAUUUUUAUUCAAGAGAUAGGGAUAUUCAACAGCUCUUAAAUAAAAAUAAAUCCUGAGUAACUUAUCUUUAUAACUCCCAGAAGAAAAUAUUGAAAGUAGUCACUGUAUGCAUGGAUUUACUUUUUUUCAUUACAUAAUUAUCUGCAAUAUACAAUUAUAUCCUAUUUAAUGAUGUUAUCUUAUAAAUAAUUGUAUUUUUUAACAACUUUAUACCAAAACUAAAAUAUUUUGAGACAAAAUAAAGAGAAGACAAGAUAAAUAGUUAAAAAUUAAAAUGGUCUCAAAUAGAGAUUUCCAAACAAAUACAUAAAUGGUCAGCAGUUGCUUAUGUCUCCAUUCUGAAGACAUAAAAACUGCAGACUCAGCCAGAUUUACGCAGUUGUUGGGACAACCUGCUUGUAAAAGGAGCUACCCACUAUGGGUUUCCUAUCUGCUGAGAGUCGGACACUCAUUGGAAUGACCUGCCUGCAGAAAGGAGCUACCCACUAUAAUCAGGGAAAUGCAAGUCAAAAGCACAGUAAGACACCUCACACCUGUUAGGAUGGCUAAAAAACACAAAAGUUAAAUUUUGGAGAAAAUGUGAACAAAAGGGAACCCUUGUACAGUGUUGGUGGGAAUGUAAAUUGGUACUCCCAUUAUGAAAAAUUAUAUAUGGAGGUUCCUCAAAACAUUAAAAAUAGAACUACCAUAUAAUCCAGCAAUCUUAUUUCACAUCUGGGUAUAUAUUCAAGGGAAACAAAAUCAUUAUCUUGAUGAAAUAUUUGCAUUUUCAUGUUCAUCACAAAAUUAUUCACAACAGUUAGGAUCUGGAAACAGCCAAAGUAUCCAUUGAGAAGUAAAUAGAUAAAGAAAUGGUGGCAUAUAGAAAUAUUAUGCAACCAUGUAAUGAUAAGGAAAUUCUAGAAUUUACAACAUGAACGAAGCUGGAGGGCAUUAUGCCAAAUAAAAUAAGCCAAUCACAGAAGGAUAAAAAAUACAGUAUGGUAUCACUUACAGGUGAAAUCCGAAACAACAAAAAAAGUUACAUUCAUUGGAACAUAGUAUAGAAUUGUAGUUACCAGGAACUGAAGUGGGGGAAUGGAGAGAUGUUGGUCAUAGGGUACAAAAUUUCAGUUAUAAGAUGAAUAAGUUCUGCAGACUGGAUGCACACCAUGUCGUGACUAUAGUUGACAGUACUGUAUUGCUUAUUUGAAUUUUCAUAAAGAAGCAGAUCUUAAGCAAUCUCACCAAAACUUUUUAGAAAGUAGCUAUGUGAGGUGUUGUUAUGUUAAUGAACUUUAUUAUGGUAAUCAUUUCAUAAUGUGUAUGUAUAUCAAGUCAUUACAUUAUACACAUUAAGUAUAUUCAAUUUUAUGUGUCAAUUAUAUUACAAUAAUGGUGAUUUUUUAAUGGCUUGCCUGCAGAAUGCCACCAUAUUCAUUAAGAUUUUCUUUUAUACUGUUUAUCCUAAGAGUACAGCAACAAAACUGUGGCUUUAAAAACUCAAAGGGAUGUAAUUAAACAAUUUACUAUGUUUAGUUUAUUAAAUUUUAUAAACUGCGUUAGACAAAAAGAUUUAUGCACUUAAUCACAUUUACAUUAAUCUAUAGUAAAGUUCAAAAACAGAAAAUCAAGCCUGGAAUAAUUUCCUGUAUUUCCUGCUGGAUCUGCCAGACUAGUGGAGGAUAAUACAAUUAGAACAUUUACAGAAGUCAUCGUGAAUGUUACUGUUAUUGAAGUUGAUAAAUGAAGUUUUCAUUUCGAUUAAGAAACAUGUAAGAGAUAUGAGUGUGAUAUUUGUUGUUUUUUAUGGACUACAUACAAAGUCUUGAAAAAAGAUUGAAGAGCUUAUCAAUCAAUACCAAGGCCUAGAAACCAGUUUUAUUUUCUUUAAAAUGAGAGACAGAGAAGUGAAUGUUAUUAAAAAGGCUACCGUAAAAAUAGUAUUUAUUGGCCUUUCCACUUACACAAUUUUAACAGCAGAAAUAAAACUUUAUUUGUAGAUGUUUUCACUUAUUAAAAAAAGUCUUAAAAAGUAGACCAUAGAAGUUCUUGGUUUCUUAUCAAUAUAAAGACAAGUUGGCUGUUGUUCAGUUUAUAAAAUAAAACAAAUUCUGUUCAUUAAUAAAGGCUGUCAAUCUAGAAAUUAAUCUUUUUCUUACAGGUAUGUGAUCUUCAAUAUUAUGGUGACUAUCUUUCCACCAACUGACUAUACGCCAAUCAUUUUCACUUCACUUCAAGGUUGCUACCAUAAACCAAAAAGCAAAUCCUAUAAAAUAUGCUUUUAAUUUGUUCGAAAUUGUAAUUUUUUUCUUUAGUUAGGAAAUAAGAAAGCAUUGUCACACACACAAUGUAUAAAGAAAAACAUAAUUCAAAAUUAUUCUGAAAACAAUUUGAAGACACAGAGAUUCUAAGAAUUAUUAUGAGUAGCUCUGUACAAAGAAAUCAUAGAAUUUGAGCAAAGUUACUCUGGCAUAAUUUGGAAGAAACUGAUAAAAUUGUCAUCAAUAUCACAGGGAGAAGUUCAACUCAGCUAGGGUAGAUAAAUCAUAUACUUUGAAAACAAGCUUAAAUACAGCCUAGCAUUAAAAAAAACAGGGAUAAACAAAAAUUAUAAAAAUGGAUCAUCCUAAAAAUAAGCACUGUAAAUAUAAAUGAUGUAAAAAAGCAAUAUCCAAAACUGUACACACAAAAAAAACUUAAAGCAGAGAUUCAGAAAGGUUAAAUAUUUAAAAAUGAGUCAAAAUAUAUCAGGUGAAAGCACAAAACAAAACAACAUGAUUUUCAAUCUUAAUAUUAGACAAGGUAUACUGAGACAUAUAAAAACACUUAAAAGACAGCAAGAGGCGCUUAUGAUACUAAAGAAUGCAACUCACAAUUAGGUUAUGUUAGUAAUGCUACUGCUUCAAAUAAAUCAGAAUCGGCUUUCAGAAGAAAAAAAGACUACAACAGCUCUAUUAAAAAAUGCUGCUUAUAGCUUACUCCCAAACAGAGCAACUGGGCAAAACUAUUUUAGAUAAGAAACACACAACACAUCAUCAAGAAGGUAGAUUGUAUAAAUAAAACACUCUGAACUAAAAUAGUAAAUAAUAUAACUUAUUUUCAAGUGCACAUGAAAAUCAACUAUAUUUUAGGCCCCAAAGUGCUCUUUAGUUAAUUCCAAAUAAUAGUGUUGGAAAAAUAAGCUAGAAAUUAACAAGAUUGCAGAGACUCUGUCACCUAAAACAUCGAAAACAUUAUUUUUAACAUGUAGGCCUAAGGGAAAAACGGAGUGGCAGCACUUAUUUAGAAGAAUGGUAACUAAAUAAUAUCAUAAUCUAUGAAAUAUAGCAAAUAAUUAUCAGAGGAAAAUACAUGGCAUAAAAUACUUAUAUCAACAGAAAGCAACAUCAACAAUAUAGUGAAUUAUGGCCAGGCACAGUGGGUCAUGCCUGUAAUCCUAGCACUUUGGGAGGCCAAGGUGGGUGGAUCACGAGGUCAGGAGUUCAAGACCAGCCUGGCCUACACGGUGAAACCCCAUCUCUACUACAGGCAGGCACCUGUAAUCCCAGUUACUCAGGAGGC
This 18108-nucleotide long non-coding RNA is filed under the name Homo sapiens (human). Its description in RNAcentral is "HSALNT0204669". Lineage: Eukaryota; Metazoa; Chordata; Mammalia; Primates; Hominidae. The record is from RNAcentral.